This is a long non-coding RNA of Thalassophryne amazonica, 155 nucleotides long. RefSeq lists it as uncharacterized. Lineage: Eukaryota; Metazoa; Chordata; Actinopteri; Batrachoidiformes; Batrachoididae. The record is from RefSeq and is a predicted model, not a curated record. The transcript has 2 exons.
AGGCACUUCACACAAGUAAGGUCUAACCGUACCAACCCCCAGAGCAAGCACACAGGCGACAGUGGUAAGGAAAAACUCCCUCUGAGGAAGAAACCUCAAGCAGACCAAACUCAAUGUGGGUGACCCACUGCUUGGGCCAUGCUACCGACACAAUU